AGUUAGACCAUUCGCUUAAUUUCUUCCUACAGGAAGAGGAUUUAUAUGAAAUUGAUAUUCCAUUGAGAUUUAUCUCCUCGGUGGGUGCUAGAGUGCAUGGCUUGGCUUGCUGGUUUGAUGUACUGUUCAAUGGGAGCACUGUACAAAGGUGGCUUACCACUGCCCCUGGUGCACCAACAACGCACUGGUACCAAUUACGUUGCGUUCUCUCUCAGCCAAUUUAUGUCAUGGCAGGACAAGAAAUUACUGGCCGACUCCACAUGAUUGCGCACAAUGCUCAGAGUUAUACGAUCUAUCUGACAUUGUCAACUAAAAUGUGGGGGCCUGGUGCUGAACAAGAAGGAAUACUUCAGACAUCAUCAUGCAAACUUGAUCUCAAGGAGCCCUACUACAGAAUGUCUCAACCACAAGCCUAUCCGUUAACCCAAGAUCAGCAACAACAUCAGCUAAUAAGCACGCAGGUAUUGACUAACCCUGUCAUGGC
Molecule: non-coding RNA, 484 nt
Organism: Corylus avellana
Lineage: Eukaryota; Viridiplantae; Streptophyta; Magnoliopsida; Fagales; Betulaceae
Source: RefSeq, a predicted model, not a curated record